UAACAAUGAUUUCCUUAGUAACGGCGAGUGAAGAGGAAAAAGCUCAAAGUUGUAACCUAUUUGGCUUAGCCAAAUCGGAUUGUAGACUGGAGAAGUGUUUUAUGGCACGCCGAGUGAAAAAGUCCCUUGGAACAGGGCAUCAUAGAGGGUGAGAAUCCCGUGAAUUCACUUGAGUAUAUGUUGUCAACUUUAAUACACUUUCAAAGAGUCAGGUUGUUUGGGAAUGCAGCCUAAAUUGGGUGGUAAAUCUCACCUAAAGCUAAAUAUUGGCGAGAGACCGAUAGCGAACAAGUACCGUGAGGGAAAGAUGAAAAGAACUUUGAAAAGAGAGUUAAACAGUACGUGAAAUUGUUAAAAGGGAACCGUUUGGAGCCAGACCGGCUUUAUCGUAAUCAAUCUAGGUUUCGACCUGGAUGCACUUGCGGUAGAUUUGCCUGCCAACGACAGUUUUUUUUGAGGGAAAAAACUAGGAGGAAUGUGGCCCUUAACUUGUUAGGGGUGUUAUAGCCUUUUAGAAAAUACCUUGAAUUGGACUGAGGAACGCAGCGAAUGCUCUUUAGGGCGAAAUAGUUGAGUGCUUUGGCUGAUAGAUGCUAGAAUUUCUGCUUCGGGUGGUGCUAGUGUUUAAAGGUUAAACUCGCUUGAUUCAUUUUUUAUUCGCUUAGGUUGUUGGCUUAAUGACUCUAAAUGA
Molecule: ribosomal RNA, 691 nt
Filed under: Cokeromyces recurvatus
Lineage: Eukaryota; Fungi; Mucoromycota; Mucoromycetes; Mucorales; Mucoraceae
Description: eukaryotic LSU rRNA
Rfam family: Eukaryotic large subunit ribosomal RNA
Source: RNAcentral